AGUGAACGCUGGCGGUAGGCCUAACACAUGCAGGUCGAACGGCAGCACAGAGGAGCUUGCUCCUUGGGUGGCGAGUGGCGGACGGGUGAGGAAUACAUCGGAAUCUACUCUGUCGUGGGGGAUAACGUAGGGAAACUUACGCUAAUACCGCAUACGACCUACGGGUGAAAGCAGGGGAUCUUCGGACCUUGCGCGAUUGAAUGAGCCGAUGUCGGAUUAGCGAGUUGGCGGGGUAAAGGCCCACCAAGGCGACGAUCCGUAGCUGGGCUGAGGGUAUGAUCCGCACCACUGGAACUGAGACACGCUCCAGACUCCUACGGGAGGCAGCAGUGGGGAAUAUUGGACGAUGGGCGCAAGCCUGAUCCAGCCAUACCGCGUGGGUGAAGAAGGCCUUCGGGUUGUAAAGCCCUUUUGUUGGGGAAGAAAUCCAUCUGGUUAAUACCCGGGUGGGAUGACGGUACCCAAAGAAUAAGCACCGGCUAACUUCGUGCCAGCCGCCGCCGUAA
This 506-nucleotide ribosomal RNA is filed under the name uncultured bacterium. Its description in RNAcentral is "partial 16S ribosomal RNA". It matches the Rfam family "Bacterial small subunit ribosomal RNA", at positions 29 to 523 of the family's 1533-position model. The record is from RNAcentral.